AGUGAACGCUGGCGGUAGGCCUAACACAUGCAAGUCGAACGGCAGCACAGUAAGAGCUUGCUCUUACGGGUGGCGAGUGGCGGACGGGUGAGGAAUACAUCGGAAUCUACUUUUUCGUGGGGGAUAACGUAGGGAAACUUACGCUAAUACCGCAUACGACCUACGGGUGAAAGCAGGGGAUCUUCGGACCUUGCGCGAUUGAAUGAGCCGAUGUGGGAUUAGCUAGUUGGCGGGGUAAAGGCCCACCAAGGCGACGAUCCGUAGCUGGUCUGAGAGGAUGAUCAGCCACACUGGAACUGAGACACGGUCCAGACUCCUACGGGAGGCAGCAGUGGGGAAUAUUGGACAAUGGGCGCAAGCCUGAUCCAGCCAUACCGCGUCGGUGAAGAAGGCCUUCGGGUUGUAAAGCCCUUUUGUUGGGAAAGAAAAGCAGCAGGUUAAUACCCCGCUGUUCUGACGGUACCCAAAGAAUAAGCACCGGCUAACUUCGUG
Molecule: ribosomal RNA, 492 nt
Filed under: uncultured bacterium
Lineage: Bacteria
Description: partial 16S ribosomal RNA
Rfam family: Bacterial small subunit ribosomal RNA
Source: RNAcentral